Molecule: long non-coding RNA, 473 nt
Organism: Bos taurus (domestic cattle)
Lineage: Eukaryota; Metazoa; Chordata; Mammalia; Artiodactyla; Bovidae
Source: Ensembl
CUCCUCCAUCCUCCCCCCUCUCCCAGGGGCUCCUCCCAGGCCUGCCCCUUCUCUGCCCUGCAGGCUCCUCCCUAGGAAGGUGUCCUUGUUCACCUGGAACUGCAACUCCUGCAGCAACCUGCGUGGCCACUUUUGAGAAUUCCCUGCAUGAUUUGAAAGCUAUUUGCAAAUAGAAGUAACACCACUUCACUGAGGCCUUCUUGUCCACGAAAGAGCUGACCCACUCUACCUGGAUGGCACACCCUUGGAGCCACAGGGGAUGCUGGCAACUUUGUCAUCUCUCUGCUGACACUUGCCCUUCAUGAGUUCAAUUACUCAGGAGUGAGUCCUGCUUACCUGGCCUCCAAGCCUCUAGUGCCUGGAUGAUAUAGCUCCCUAAGUCAGAGGCUCCCAAACUUCUUAAUAUCUCAGCGAGCCCCAAAGAAAUGCCCUGAAGUUUUGUGUAUUAAGCUUGCAUCAAACAACUUGAAGAG